This 443-nucleotide ribosomal RNA is filed under the name uncultured bacterium. RNAcentral describes it as "partial 16S ribosomal RNA". It matches the Rfam family "Bacterial small subunit ribosomal RNA", at positions 338 to 795 of the family's 1533-position model. The record is from RNAcentral.
CCUACGGGAGGCAGCAGUGGGGAAUAUUGGGCAAUGGACGCAACUCUGACCCAGCAAUGCCGCGUGAGUGAUGAAGGUCAUCUUAUUGUAAAGCUCUUUUCUUUGGAACGAAUAAAUGACGGUAUCAAAGUAAUAAUCUCCGGCUAACCACGUGCCAGCACCCGCGGUAAUACGGAGGGGGCAAGCGUUGUUCUGAAUGACUGGGCGUAAAGGGGGUGUAGGGCGGUUGAUAAGUUAGUCGUGUAAUACCCAGGGCUUAACUCGGGUGCUGCAUCUGAAACUGGUAGACUUGAGUUCAGAAGAGGAUAGUGGAAUGCCUGGUGUAGCGGUGAAAUGCGUAGAUAUGAGGAGGAACACCAGUGGCGAAGGCGACUAUCUGGGCUGCAACUGACGCUGAGGCACGAAAGCGUGGGGAGCAAACAGGAUUAGAUACCCGGGUAGUC